Non-coding RNA from Paramuricea clavata, 565 nucleotides. The record is from the annotation of a GenBank genome assembly. Lineage: Eukaryota; Metazoa; Cnidaria; Anthozoa; Malacalcyonacea; Plexauridae.
CUCUGGGAUAAUCCGAAUCAGACAUACAGAAAACUGUAUGUCGACCGAACUGCGCAUGCGUUGGCAAAAGCAAAAUAAAUUGUUUGAAAUAUUUUAUUGUUUCGUCUAUAAAAUGAUUAUUUUUUCGGGGUUUUGGUGGAAAUGUUGAUGUUCUUCAUAGUGGGAUACAAAAGGUGUGUUAGCGACUGAAUAAGGAAAAUAUUGCGUGUGAAACAGGGUCAGUAUAGAGCCGGCAGGAGCCGCGAAGAGUGCUGUUGUCGAAGAAAAAUGUCACAAUUAAUUGUAAUCUUGUCCAUUCACCUCUGUGUCAGUUUGAAAAAGCUUUAAAUGUAGAGACAUUUGUGGUUUCUCCAGCAUAAUUUAGCCGUUUAACGCUAUUAUGUUUCUAAUGGUUGAAAGAGCGCGUGGAAAGGGCAAUUUUCAAAAACAAAAACAAUCGAUGUACUGUGUGUUAAUUGCUACGUACUGUAGUAUAAAAAUACUUGAAGAGAGUCUCAAUUCUAAUAUUAAGUCGGUUAUAAACCUUGAUAAAUAUUAAAGUUUUCAGAAGAUUUGUAUAUCAGAG